CAUCAGUGCAGCCUUCAGCCCAGUCUCCUGUCUCUCCUCUGGGCUCCUCGUCUCUGGUGCUGGGUUUGAUCACCGGCUCAGUCCUGAUCCUCCUGGUUCUGCUGGUCCUGGUGGUGAGACGGUGCCAGAGACACACAGAGGAGAAUGGAUUAAACAGCCACAUAUUACCCCAGCAGCAGAGGAGGACGAUCAGACACACAGAUUUUGAUGAGAGCUCUUUGUAUACCACUGUCUGCUACUCCACCAUCACCAUCAGCCAGACCAAAGAUCCAGCUGCCAGAGCUGAGGAGAGGAUGCAGAGACACAGCGAUGCAAGAACCGGCACAGAGAUCAG
Boleophthalmus pectinirostris (great blue-spotted mudskipper) is the source of this 334-nucleotide long non-coding RNA. RefSeq lists it as uncharacterized. The record is from RefSeq and is a predicted model, not a curated record. The transcript has 4 exons. Lineage: Eukaryota; Metazoa; Chordata; Actinopteri; Gobiiformes; Gobiidae.